GAAACCUCUCAACCACCUUCAAAGGUGGCUUGGAAAUGGGGGACCGUUGCAGGCUUUUGAAGUCUGCUCCCCUGAAAUGCAUUAGUGGUGUCUGGGCUGACUGCCACAGUGUGACUAACUACCUCAGUGCCUUGGUGGGAAACCCUGCUGCUUCCGAAUCUCUGAUGACCAAC
RNAcentral lists this unclassified non-coding RNA (173 nucleotides) under uncultured Inocybe. RNAcentral describes it as "sequence contains ITS2". The record is from RNAcentral. Lineage: Eukaryota; Fungi; Basidiomycota; Agaricomycetes; Agaricales; Cortinariaceae.